AGUGAACGCUGGCGGUAGGCCUAACACAUGCAAGUCGAACGGCAGCACAGUAAGAGCUUGCUCUUACGGGUGGCGAGUGGCGGACGGGUGAGGAAUACAUCGCAAUCUACUUUUUCGUGGGGGAUAACGUAGGGAAACUUACGCUACUACCGCAUACGAUCUACGGGUGAAAGCAGGGGAUCUUCGGACCUUGCGCGAUUGAAUGAGCCGAUGUCGGAUUAGCUAGUUGGCGGGGUAAAGGCCCACCAAGGCGACGAUCCGUAGCUGGUCUGAGAGGAUGAUCAGCCACACUGGAACUGAGACACGGUCCAGACUCCUACGGGAGGCAGCAGUGGGGAAUAUUGGACAAUGGGCGCAAGCCUGAUCCAGCCAUACCGCGUGGGUGAAGAAGGCCUUCGGGUUGUAAAGCCCUUUUGUUGGGAAAGAAAAGCAGCAGGUUAAUACCCCGCUGUUCUGACGGUACCCAAAGAAUAAGCACCGGCUAACUUCGUG
Molecule: ribosomal RNA, 492 nt
Filed under: uncultured bacterium
Lineage: Bacteria
Description: partial 16S ribosomal RNA
Rfam family: Bacterial small subunit ribosomal RNA
Source: RNAcentral